ACCCUCCAGCCCCUCCUCUGCCUUUGCCUGGACUUUAGUACAAUCAAAUCAGAGUCGACGGAGUGGGAAGUCUCUCUCUUGAUCAGAGGGAGCUGCUGUCAAAAAAGAUGAUGUGUCGAUGCUAGAGGUGGAGGUGGUGGCGAACUUGGCUGCAGGAGAUGGCUGCUACAGUGGAGGGGAGUUGAAGGUGUUGAUGGUGGCGGAACUCUUCGAUCAUUAGCCCUAAAGGUCCCA
Molecule: long non-coding RNA, 234 nt
Filed under: Elaeis guineensis (African oil palm)
Lineage: Eukaryota; Viridiplantae; Streptophyta; Magnoliopsida; Arecales; Arecaceae
Description: long non-coding RNA (EGUI_LNC014752)
Source: RNAcentral